This 645-nucleotide long non-coding RNA is filed under the name Phoenix dactylifera (date palm). RNAcentral describes it as "long non-coding RNA (PDAC_LNC014547)". Lineage: Eukaryota; Viridiplantae; Streptophyta; Magnoliopsida; Arecales; Arecaceae. The record is from RNAcentral.
CAAGCCAAGAGGGGGGGUGAAUUGGUUUCUUUUAAUUUUAACUAUCUUACUUGUAUUAAAUGAUGAGUUAGUGAACUUAAACAAAUCACAAUGCAAACAACAAGAAGUAUAGUGGUUCGGUGCUCUCCUUAGCACCUACGUCCACUCCCCAAGCGACCCCUUGAGAAUUUACUAUAAUCCCGCGGAUUACAGUUGGAUUGUUUUCCGGGCUCACAAUCUAAAAACCUUUACACUUUGGUUUUCCGGGUUCACCAAAAACCUAUGUUGGUUUUACGGGCUCACCAACGAACCUAUGUUGGUUUUCCGGGCUCACCAACGAACCUUUACAAUUGGUUUUCCGGGUUUACCAAUCAACCUAUUCCGUUGGUUUUGCGGGCUAACCAACCAACCUUUACAAGUAGUUUAAUAAACAAAGGAAGAAGAUUUAAGCUCCUAGAUGAGCAAAUAUAACAAUAUAGUCUACAAAGAAGAGUUUAGAGAAUAGUUAUCGCUUGAUAUGACUUCUCUCUUCUUUGUCAAGGAUGCUUCACUCUUCACGGGUGGAUGGAGCUCUUAAUGACUCUUUGAAUCUGCUCAACCACUUUCUUUUGACUCUUGAAUGAAGCACUUGAAUGAAGAAGAUUAGGGCACUUUCUCUUUCUUGUG